CUAUCGGGGUUGAGACUAAGCAAUGCAAGUCGUGCGUCUCAAGCCAUGGUGAGACGCGGCACACGGCUCAGUAACACGUGGCCAACCUACCCUUAGGACGGGGACAACCCCGGGAAACUGGGGCUAAUCCCCGACAGGCGAGGAGGCCUGGAAUGGUUCUUCGCUCAAAGGGCGUCGGGGGCACGCUUCCCAGCGUCGCCUAAGGAUGGGGCCGCGGCCGAUCAGGUUGUUGGUGAGGUAACGGCCCACCAAGCCUUUAACCGGUACGGGCCAUGAGAGUGGGAGCCCGGAGAUGGGCACUGAGACAAGGGCCCAGGCCCUACGGGGUGCAGCAUGCGCGAAACCUCCGCAAUGCGCGAAAGCGUGACGGGGUUACCCCGAGUGCCGUCCGCUGAGGAUGGCUUUUCUCCUGUGUAAGGAGCCGGAGGAAUAAGGGGAGGGCAAGACUGGUGUCAGCCGCCGCGGUAAUACCAGCUCCCCGAGUGGUAGGGACGAUUAUUGAGCUUAAAGCGUCCGUAGCCGGCCUGACAAGUCUUCCGUUAAAUCCAGCGACUCAAUCGCUGGGCCGCGAAAGAUACUGUCAGGCUAGGGGGCGGAAGAGGCCGACGGUAUUCCCGGAGUAGGGGUGAAAUCCUAUAAUCCCGGGAGGACCACCAGUGGCGAAGGCGGUCGGCUAGAACGCGCUCGGCGGUGAGGGACGAAAGCUGGGGGAGCGAACCGGAUUAGAUACCCGGGUAGUCCCAGCUGUAAACGAUGCGGGCUAGGUGUCGGGGCGGCCACGAGCCGCUUCGGUGCCGCAGGGAAGCCGUUAAGCCCGCCGCUUGGGAAGUACGGCCGCAAGGCUGAAACUUAAAGGAAUUGGCGGGGGAGCACCACAAGGCGUGAAGCUUGCGGUUCA
Molecule: ribosomal RNA, 898 nt
Filed under: uncultured archaeon
Lineage: Archaea
Description: bacterial SSU rRNA
Rfam family: Archaeal small subunit ribosomal RNA
Source: RNAcentral